Molecule: non-coding RNA, 73 nt
Organism: Bos taurus (domestic cattle)
Lineage: Eukaryota; Metazoa; Chordata; Mammalia; Artiodactyla; Bovidae
Source: Rfam
UCCUUGGUGGUCCAGUGGUUAGGACUCCCCACUUCCAAUGUAGGGGGCCUGGGUUCGAUCCCUGGUCGGGGAA